GACGAACGCUGGCGGCGUGCCUAAUACAUGCGAGUCGAACGCAUUUUCUUUCACCGUAGCUUGCUACACCGAAAGAAAAUGAGUGGCGAACGGGUGAGUAACACGUGGGUAACCUGCCCAUCAGCGGGGGAUAACACUUGGAAACAGGUGCUAAUACCGCAUAAUUCCAUUUACCGCAUGGUAGAUGGGUGAAAGGCGCUUUUGCGUCACUGAUGGAUGGACCCGCGGUGCAUUAGCUAGUUGGUGGGGUAACGGCCUACCAAGGCUGCGAUGCAUAGCCGACCUGGGAGGGUGAUCGGCCACACUGGGACUGAGACACGGCCCAGACUCCUACGGGAGGCAGCAGGAGGGAAUCUUCGGCAAUGGACGCAAGUCUGACCGAGCAACGCCGCGUGAGUGAAGAAGGUUUUCGGAUCGUAAAACUCUGUUGUUAGAGAAGAACAAGGAUGAGAGUGGAAAGUUCAUCCCUUGACGGUAUCUAACCAGAAAGCCACGGCUAACUACGUG
This 507-nucleotide ribosomal RNA is filed under the name uncultured bacterium. RNAcentral's name for it is "partial 16S ribosomal RNA". It matches the Rfam family "Bacterial small subunit ribosomal RNA", at positions 28 to 507 of the family's 1533-position model. The record is from RNAcentral.